UCCUUUUCCACGAGAUCCCGGACAGAUCAGAUCAAACCUCGUCCGCACGCGCCACACCCCUUCGCGCGGACAACGGAGAAGCGAGGAACGCACAGCCGAUGAGGCCUCUGCGCGCCGUCGCUCUGCUCCUCGUCGCGGCGGCAGCAGCCGCGGCCGCCGCGACGCCGUGGGCGGGGAGCGGCCAGGAGUCCGGCUCCAUCAGCAAAGACGACUUCCCUGGGGACUUCAGCUUCGGGGCUAGCACAUCAGCUUAUCAGUGGGAAGGCGCGGCGGCGGAGGACGGCCGGACCCCCAGCGUGUGGGACACCUUCGCUCACGCUCACGCCCACGCCCACGCCGGAUCGGGGCCAUGGUGGAAAUCGAAAGAAGUGGACCAUGUGGACUAUGCCUCAUUGCUUAUAAGUUCUGCAAUACAGGUGAUGACUCUGUAAAUGGUGAUGUGGCAGCUGACGGCUACCAUAAGUACAAGGAGGAUAUCAAAUUAAUGAAGGAGACCGGACUGGAUUCUUAUAGAUUCUCUAUCUCUUGGUCAAGGCUUAUUCCUAAAGGAAGAGGAGAAAUCAAUCCAAAAGGAGUAGGAUACUACAAUAAUCUCAUCAAUGAACUACUUGAUCAUGGAAUUCAACCACAUGCAACGAUUUUCCAGUAUGAUCUUCCUCAAAUCCUUGAAGAUGAAUAUGGUGGAUGGUUGAGUCCCCAAAUAAUUGGUGAUUUCACAGCAUACGCAGAUGUGUGCUUUAGGGAAUUUGGGGAUAGAGUUACCAAUUGGACUACUCUAAAUGAACCUAACGCUUUAGUUUCGGUUGGCUAUGAUGCUGGUAUUGGGCCACCGGGGAGAUGUUCUAAACCAUUUGGAUUUGCUGACUGUUCCUGUGGGGACUCUGUAAACGAGCCAUACGUUGUAGCUCAUAAUUGCUUAUUGGCUCAUACCUCAGCUGUGUCACUAUACAGAAGAAAGUAUCAGACAAAGCAACACGGACUUAUUGGCAUGAAUAUAUGUAUAAAUAACAUAGUACCUUAUACAAAUUCAACGGAAGAUAUAGCUGCAGCGAAAAGAGCACAAGCCUUCUACACAGGCUGGUUCUUGGAUCCUCUCUAUUAUGGAGACUACCCACUUGUGAUGAAGGAGAAUACUGGCUCCAAGUUGCCAAAAUUUUCUCAAAGCCAGUCUAAACAACUAAUCAAUUCUAUGGACUUUCUUGGCAUCAAUUACUACACAUUUUUGUACGUGAAGGAUGACCCGCAUCAUGCUCCUAGCAACAAAAGGAAUUUCAGGGCUGAUAUGGCUGCUAAAUCAAUAUUUUCAAGCAAUUCUACCAGUGGAUUCUAUGUGCCAGGUUAUGGGAUACAGCAAGUGCUUGAACAUUUGAAGCAAUUUUAUGGUAAUCCUCCAAUCUAUAUCCAUGAGAAUGGAUAUCCAAUGCAUCAAGAUGUAGUAUUUGAUGAUGGCCCUAGGGUGGAAUUCUUGAGUGAACAUCUUAAGAACCUUCUCACUGCUGUCAGGAAUGGUUCGAAUACUAGGGGCUACUUUGCCUGGUCGCUGAUGGAUUUAUAUGAACUACUUAGUGUCGGGGACACGUAUGGACUCUAUUACGUGGAUUUUGCUGAUGAUGAUCUCAAGAGGUAUCCAAGGAGCUCUGCGAUUUGGUACAAGGAUUUUCUCAAGGGGAGGCACACGGAGACGGGGAGAUUCUCCGAUCACUAGCUCGGGUAGACUGCGCUAGGUGUUUUCCGUAGGUUAAACUGUUCCGUCCCCCCACGUUAUUCCAAACACAUGAAAGUGGCCGAUGCGGAGUGAGACGGAAGACUAUAAUUUUAUACCAGGUUACUACUGUAGAUGUUUCCUAUCUACAGCAUCUCAUCUUUAGCGCACAAAUAUGUCAUUGCGCAGGCUACUCGACAUCAUACGAUGCUUCUUCUUUUUUAAGCCAAGACCGUAGAACAAUUGUUCUACGGUAAUUUUUCAUUAUAUAAAUAUGUACAAUUACAGGAAAAAAUAAAUAAAGACUCGUUC
Molecule: ribosomal RNA, 2014 nt
Filed under: Triticum aestivum (bread wheat)
Lineage: Eukaryota; Viridiplantae; Streptophyta; Magnoliopsida; Poales; Poaceae
Description: partial small subunit ribosomal RNA
Source: RNAcentral